UUCCUGGUGGCUCAGACAGUAAAGAACCUGCCUGAAAUUCAGGAGACCCAGGUUUGAUCCUGGGUCAGGAAG
RNAcentral lists this transfer RNA (72 nucleotides) under Ovis aries (sheep). It matches the Rfam family "tRNA". Rfam says of the family: Transfer RNA (tRNA) molecules are approximately 80 nucleotides in length. Their secondary structure includes four short double-helical elements and three loops (D, anti-codon, and T loops). The record is from Rfam by way of RNAcentral. Lineage: Eukaryota; Metazoa; Chordata; Mammalia; Artiodactyla; Bovidae.